CACACCACACACACACACACUCAGGUUGUGGGUUUACCACCUAGGGCAGGAACUUGGCGACUCUGGCCCCGAAGAGGCCCCGAGGGGGCAGAAGAUGCUGUGGGCCGCUUGCUGAUCAGAUUGUGGGUUUUGAGGACCUCUCCAUCCCUUACGCCCUGAAGCUGGGAAGGACCCCCCGCCCCAAUGCACUGGCAGGCACUGAGAACUGGCUGUGUCACCAGAAGGCCAGGGGAGAGGGCAGAGCAGCCUGAUGCUGACAAAACAGGCCCAGGGACUGUGGAAAAAGAGCUGCCUUUGUCAGCUGGGGAGGGGGAGGUGUUGGGGGGAGGGGACAGCCCGGGCCCUGCUACCCCCUUCCCCAGGGCGAUCAGGCUGUUGACGUCAGCACCAAACUCCUCUGCUGGAAAGGAAAAGCAUGGGCCGUCCCCGGUGAACACCGGCAAACCACAGCCGCAGAGGCCAGCGGGGAGAACGUGGCAGAGAGCCAGAGCUCUCUACGCGGGGGACAUGUGAGCCAUCCACGGCCCGGCAGGAUUGGGGUCGGGGAAUGACGUCAGACCAGGAGCUGCCAGGCUCCUGGAUGCCUGGCUGAGGUCACUGCUGCCCGGCGAAGAAUCUGGGGCAACUGACUGAGACAAUGACUACAUCAGCUGGGCCGGAGAUCCAGGCGCCCCCCUCGGGUGUGGGCUCACAGUGGGCCCUCUGUUCCAGAAGACAGACGCUGGACAGCGCCAGGCCCCACCGGAGCAGGAGGUAGUUUGUUGCCAAGGGAUUUGGCGAAACCAUUUCUACCCAUCUAGCAGAUUCAAGUCAAUGCCACUAAGUGGACAUUCAUGAAGCAUUAAGUAUUUGCAAGAGCCUGCUGUAGCGGUUAAAGAGAUGGCUUCAGAGUUCAUGUCCUACAUCUGACUCAUCCUGACUGUGUGACUCUGUAUGAAGAGACCGAAGUUCAGAGAGGUUUGUCCAUGGUCACCCAACUGGUGUCAGAGAAAGUCAGCAGAGCUGGGAGAACAAUAUAUUCGG
Phascolarctos cinereus (koala) is the source of this 1023-nucleotide non-coding RNA. The record is from RefSeq and is a predicted model, not a curated record. NCBI's taxonomy places the organism in Eukaryota, Metazoa, Chordata, Mammalia, Diprotodontia, Phascolarctidae.